This 613-nucleotide ribosomal RNA is filed under the name uncultured Alphaproteobacteria bacterium. RNAcentral describes it as "bacterial SSU rRNA". It matches the Rfam family "Bacterial small subunit ribosomal RNA", at positions 28 to 692 of the family's 1533-position model. The record is from RNAcentral. Lineage: Bacteria; Pseudomonadati; Pseudomonadota; Alphaproteobacteria.
AACGAACGCUGGCGGCAUGCCUAACACAUGCAAGUCGAACGCUAUUUAUAGAGUGGCGCACGGGUGAGUAUCGCGUGGGAACUUGCCUUUUUCUGCGGGAUAACGGUUGGAAACGACCGCUAAUACCGCAUACGCCCUACGGGGGAAAGGUCCGCCGGAAAAAGAGGGGCCCGCGUCUGAUUAGCUUGUUGGUAGGGUAAUGGCCUACCAAGGCGACGAUCAGUAGCUGGUCUGAGAGGAUGAUCAGCCACACUGGACUGAGACACGGCCCAGACUCCUACGGGAGGCAGCAGUGGGGAAUAUUGGACAAUGGGGGCAACCCUGAUCCAGCAAUGCCGCGUGUGUGAUGAAGGCCUUAGGGUUGUAAAGCACUUUCACUGGUGAAGAUGAUGACGGUAACCAGAGAAGAAGCCCCGGCUAACUUCGUGCCAGCAGCCGCGGUAAUACGAAGGGGGCGAGCGUUGUUCGGAAUUACUGGGCGUAAAGGGCGCGUAGGCGGUCUUUUAAGUUAGGCGUGAAAGCCCCGGGCUCAACCCGGGAACUGCGCUUAAGACUGGAAGACUAGAAAACGGAAGAGGGUAGUGGAAUUCCCAGUGUAGAGGUGAAAUUCGUA